UACGGAGGAUGCGAGCGUUAUCCGGAUUUACUGGGUGUAAAGGGAGCGUAGACGGUGAUGCAAGUCAGAAGUGAAAGCCCGGGGCUCAACUCCGGGACUGCUUUUGAAACUGUGUGACUGGAGUGCAGGAGAGGUAAGCGGAAUUCCUGGUGUAGCGGUGAAAUGCGUAGAUAUCAGGAGGAACACCGGCGGCGAAGGCGGCUUACUGGACUGUAACUGACGUUGAGGCUCGAAAGCGUGGGUAUCGAACAGG
This 253-nucleotide ribosomal RNA is filed under the name uncultured Lachnospiraceae bacterium. Its description in RNAcentral is "partial 16S ribosomal RNA". It matches the Rfam family "Bacterial small subunit ribosomal RNA", at positions 524 to 776 of the family's 1533-position model. The record is from RNAcentral. Lineage: Bacteria; Bacillati; Bacillota; Clostridia; Lachnospirales; Lachnospiraceae.